This 447-nucleotide ribosomal RNA is filed under the name uncultured bacterium. RNAcentral describes it as "bacterial SSU rRNA". It matches the Rfam family "Bacterial small subunit ribosomal RNA", at positions 355 to 825 of the family's 1533-position model. The record is from RNAcentral.
UCGGGAAUUUUGGGCAAUGGGCGCAAGCCUGAUCCAGCCAUGCCGCGUGGAUGAUGAAGGCCUUAGGGUUGUAAAAUCCUUUCGCCGAGGACGAUAAUGACGGUACUCGGAGAAGAAGCUCCGGCUAACUUCGUGCCAGCAGCCGCGGUAAUACGAAGGGGGCUAGCGUUGUUCGGAUUUACUGGGCGUAAAGCGCGUGUAGGCGGGUCGUUAAGUUGGGGGUGAAAUCCCGAGGCUCAACCUCGGAACUGCCUUCAAAACUAGCGACCUGGACCUAAGUAGAGGCAAGUGGAAUUGCGAGUGUAGAGGUGAAAUUCGUAGAUAUUCGCAGGAACACCAGUGGCGAAGGCGACUUGCUGGACUUAUGGUNACGCUGAGGCUCGAAAGCGUGGGGAGCAAACAGGAUUAGAUACCCCAGUAGUCCCUGAGCGGGCUGGCAAGGCGCAU